CACGUGAGUAACCUGCCCUUGACUCUGGGAUAAGUGCUAGAAAUGGCGUCUAAUACCGGAUACGAGCUUCAGCCGCAUGGCUAGGAGUUGGAAAGAAUUUUGGUCAAGGAUGGACUCGCGGCCUAUCAGCUAGUUGGUGAGGUAAUGGCUCACCAAGGCGACGACGGGUAGCCGGCCUGAGAGGGUGACCGGCCACACUGGGACUGAGACACGGCCCAGACUCCUACGGGAGGCAGCAGUGGGGAAUAUUGCACAAUGGGCGAAAGCCUGAUGCAGCAACGCCGCGUGAGGGAUGACGGCCUUCGGGUUGUAAACCUCUUUUAGUAGGGAAGAAGCGAAAGUGACGGUACCUGCAGAAAAAGCACCGGCUAACUACGUGCCAGCAGCCGCGGUAAUACGUAGGGUGCAAGCGUUGUCCGGAAUUAUUGGGCGUAAAGAGCUCGUAGGCGGUUUGUCGCGUCUGCUGUGAAAUCUGGGGGCUCAACCCCCAGCCUGCAGUGGGUACGGGCAGACUAGAGUGCGGUAGGGGAGAUUGGAAUUCCUGGUGUAGCGGUGGAAUGCGCAGAUAUCAGGAGGAACACCGAUGGCGAAGGCAGAUCUCUGGGCCGUAACUGACGCUGAGGAGCGAAAGCAUGGGGAGCGAACAGGAUUAGAUACCCUGGUAGUCCAUGCCGUAAACGUUGGGAACUAGAUGUGGGGGCCAUUCCACGGUCUCCGUGUCGCAGCUAACGCAUUAAGUUCCCCCCCUGGGGAGUACGGCCCCAAGGCUAAAACUCAAAGGAAUUGACGGGGGCCCGCACAAGCGGCGGAGCAUGCGGAUUAAUUCGAUGCAACGCGAAGAACCUUACCAGGCUUGACAUAUACCGGAAACAUCCAGAGAUGGU
RNAcentral lists this ribosomal RNA (884 nucleotides) under Frigoribacterium sp. 30-RHI-7. RNAcentral's name for it is "bacterial SSU rRNA". It matches the Rfam family "Bacterial small subunit ribosomal RNA", at positions 114 to 1010 of the family's 1533-position model. Lineage: Bacteria; Bacillati; Actinomycetota; Actinomycetes; Micrococcales; Microbacteriaceae. The record is from RNAcentral.